UACGUAGGGUGCAAGCGUUAAUCGGAAUUACUGGGCGUAGAGCGUGCGCAGGCGGCUUUGCAAGACAGGUGUGAAAUCCCCGGGCUUAACCUGGGAACUGCAUUUGUGACUGCAUGGCUAGAGUGCGGCAGAGGGGGAUGGAAUUCCGCGUGUAGCAGUGAAAUGCGUAGAUAUGCGGAGGAACACCGAUGGCGAAGGCAAUCCCCUGGGCCUGCACUGACGCUCAUGCACGAAAGCGUGGGGAGCAAACAGG
RNAcentral lists this ribosomal RNA (253 nucleotides) under uncultured bacterium. Its description in RNAcentral is "partial 16S ribosomal RNA". It matches the Rfam family "Bacterial small subunit ribosomal RNA", at positions 524 to 776 of the family's 1533-position model. The record is from RNAcentral.